GUCCUGUAGCUCAACUGAAAGCUCCCCUCCUGAAACCAGAUAUGGUAGGAGCAGAAGUUCCAGUUUUAGUUUUGGAAAGGAAGCUAAUGGGCUGAUGUCGAGAAACGGAGUUCUACCGUCAUUGAAAACAACCCAAAGACGUAAAUCACUUAUUCACGUUGGGUCACCGAAACUUGAUCGCCGUAGAAACAGUGAAAGUGAUACUUCUAUAAAAGAAGAAAAAGAAUCUAAGUUAAGAGACAGACGUCGAAAUAAAACAUGGAGACCAUCUUUAUCAGGAAAGCCGAAGGAACUGGAUGAUCUAAUGGGUUUCUCACUGGCCCGUUAGUUUUAAUUCAGACUGUUACUGAAAUGAUGUAUUUUUAUUUGUAUGCUCACCUGUAAGAUAGUAAUCAAGGCUGUCUCGUUAGUCCUAGCACAAAGUUUCUUAAGUUCCCGAUAGUCUACAAAAUCCACAUUGGGACCAUCUCAGGAGUGUGGUUUUAAUUUUUUCUUUUUAUAUUACAGAUUAUUGACAUUUGUUGGCACGAAGUAUUAAUACAACGGUUUCUAUUGUUGGGCGGGUUCUUUUGGUGAAAAAUAAUGCAUAGUCCUGUUCACUUGAUGAUAAAGCCGUUUUAUAUCUUGGACUACGAGUUAUAAACUUACAUAAUUUCAGGAACUAACGAUAAGCCUAACUUCACAAUCAUUUAUUUAUUUGAUAACUUUCUCGUGCACACAGUUUAUCCAUAUCUACUUACUAAACCGACUAACAAACUCGUUAAUCCAUCAGUUAUUCAACCACUGUAACCUACUUACUAAACCGACUAACAAACUCGUUAAUCCAUCAGUUAUUCAACCACUGUAACCUACUUACUAAACCGACUAACAAACUCGUUAAUCCAUCAGUCAUUCAACCACUGUAACCUACUUACUAAACCGACUAACAAACUCGUUAAUCCAUCAGUCAUUCAACUACUGUAACCUACUUACUAAACCGAUUAACAAACUCGUUAAUUCGACAGUCAUUCAACCACUGUAACCUAUUUACUAAACCGACUAACAAACUCGUUAAUCCAUCAGUUAUUCAACCACUGUAACCUACUUACUAAACCGACUAACAAACUCGUUAAUUCGACAGUCAUUCAACCACUGUAACCUACUUACUAAACCGACUAAGCCUUAAUCCCAUCUUGUAUCUCUCAAAUUGUUUGUUAAAACUCUCAAACAAAUUUUAGUCAUUAAGCUACGCACUUAUCACGUGACAUAAAAACUCUUUUUUUUUUUUCCCAAAAACAGUACAAAUAUCAGAAUUACAAAACAUAGCCUACAACACAUAACUUCGGUUUUAUUAACUAAUUCUUGUUUACAUUUUUCAGAUUACCUGCAUGAGAUUUAGUUUAAAAUGUUGACAACCCAGGUUGAUUUCCAUUAAAAGAAUAAACCAUUUCCAGAAGAGGACAAUCAAAUAAGCUCAUCACAAAUCUGAACAGAAAAGCAGAAUAUGAGAGGAUUUUAUAAGUAUCUGUAUAUACUAAUUUUACGUGGAGCUUUGCAUACGCUUUUAAUUGUAUGAUUAUUCUAUGGUUUUGCAACUUUUAAUUUUAUUGGUUAUGCUGAUAUUUAGCAACCUCCAAAAGUUGACGUGAUUGUUUUUUGAUGAAUACUUAUAAAGACUGACAAAAACAACAACAACCAAGCCUAAAAUGUAUCAAGCAGCAUUUUACAAGCUUUCGAAAUGGAGAUUUAAGCUACAACUAUUUAACAGCUAAUACGUUUUCUUUACCAAUAUCUAAGAAGCUGUAAAUGCACAAAAAUAUUGUGAUAAAGAAAGCAGACGAUAUCUCGACUUCUUAUAAAAAUAACUGUAUAUACAGCAUUGAAGGUUUACUGGGGGCAAUAAACGAACACAGAUAAAAAUAAUUUAGAGCUGAAUCAGUAGAUCAGAUAAAAUGAUUGAUCGUAAUGUCAGAGCUUUUGUUUAGUCUGAACGUUAUAUCUUUAGGAAUGUAUCUUAGCUGAAAUGUCAGACCUGUAAAACACUAUUAUUUCUUGGCUUUUAGAGUUUAUAUGGAUAACUUAUAACAACUUGGUUAGAACAAUCUAUUAUUUCUUGGCUUUUAGAGUUUAUAUGGAUAACUUAUAACAACUUGGUUAGAACAAUCUAUUAUUUCUUGGUCUUUGGAGUUUAUAUGGAUAACUUAUAACAACUUGGUUAGAACAAUCUAUUAUUUCUUGGUCUCUGGAGAUUAUAUGAAUAACUUAUAACAACUUGGUUAGAACAAUCUAUUAUUUCUUGGCUUUUAGAGUUUAUAUGGAUAACUUAUAACACUAUGGUUAGAACAGUCUAUUAUCUCUUGGUCUUUGGAGUUUAUAUGGAUAACUUAUAACAACUUGGUUAGAACAGUCUAUUAUUUCUUGGUCUUUGGAGUUUAUAUGGAUAACUUAUAACACUGUGGUUAGAACAGUCUAUUAUUUCUUGGUCUUUGGAUGUUAUAUGGAUAACUUAUAACACUGUGGUUAGAACAGUCUAUUAUCUCUUGGUCUUUGGAGUUUAUAUGGAUAACUUAUAAUAACUUGGUCAGAACAAUCUUUUUUUCUUUGAACAGAGUAAACAGUUUAUUUAGCUAAAUGUGAGGUAAUGACAAGAGUUGUUUUUUCUACUCGGAUCAUUUUGUACGGUAGCUCAUAACAUUACACACAAAAUGUCAAAAUUCACUUAUUAGUUAGACUUCUUCAAAGUUUUGUAAUAAGAAUAUUUUUCUGAGUUUGUUCAAGUAUAAAUACUACUCUUAUGUUAUAUACUGAUUCUGAAGAAUUAUUUUCUCUUUAUUUAUAAAAUACUGAUCUAGAUAAAGUUUAACAAUGAAACGUCAAAAACAGUUAAGUUCUUGUAGAAUUUCAAUUCUAAAAAAGAUAAGGACCUCCCGCUAAAAACAAAAUAUAUUUCGUGCUGUCUGGAUCGUGAAAUCUUAGGUAUAAGGUUCAGUGCUCUUUAUAAAUAAGUGACUUUAUACUUGUGAUAGCAUAUAAAUGUUAAGAAUAAGACUGCCAAAAUUGCCAAGUGACGUGUCGAACGUAUUUCCUGUUAAUACGAUUUAUAUUGUUUCGUAGGAUUUGUGGCCUAUUUGUUUUUAAAGCUGUGUUCGUCAUAUGUUUUUUUAAAGUCCAAUGUUACUUUAAAGAAAGGAAAUAUCGGCUCUGUAUUACGUCAUUGCUACGACACCAUGUUACGUAUGAAGAGUGCUAUUGGAAAUACAUGUUAAGUAUGAAGAGUGCUAUUGGAAAUACAUGUUACGUAUGAAGAGUGCUAUUGGAAAUACAUGUUACGUAUGAGGAGUGCUAUUGGAAAUACAUGUUACGUAUGAAGAGUGCUAUUGGAAAUACAUGUUACGUGUGAAGAGUGCUAUUGGAAAUACAUGUUACGUGUGAAGAGUGCUAUUGAAAAUACAUGUUACGUGUGAAGAGUGCUGUUGGAAAUACAUGUUACGUAUGAAGAGUGGUAUUGGAAAUACAUGUUACGUGUGAAGAGUGCUAUUGGAAAUACAUGUUACGUGUGAAGAGUGCUAUUGGAAAUACAUGU
This 3562-nucleotide long non-coding RNA is filed under the name Limulus polyphemus (Atlantic horseshoe crab). RNAcentral's name for it is "uncharacterized LOC111085860". The record is from RNAcentral. Lineage: Eukaryota; Metazoa; Arthropoda; Merostomata; Xiphosura; Limulidae.